This 363-nucleotide ribosomal RNA is filed under the name Triticum aestivum (bread wheat). RNAcentral's name for it is "partial small subunit ribosomal RNA". Lineage: Eukaryota; Viridiplantae; Streptophyta; Magnoliopsida; Poales; Poaceae. The record is from RNAcentral.
AUGCCGAGAGGUAAAAAGGAGCACUUCAAUUAUACUCAUUCUAGACUACGCAAUGUCAUUGAGCGUUGUUUUGGUGUCUUGAAAAAUAAGUGGAGGAUUCUUUUCAAAGUACCAAGUUAUCCUCUAUGCAAGCAAACAAAAAUUAUUGUGGCAUGCAUGGCCUUGCACAAUUUUAUUCGUGAAAGUCAUUUGGCGGACAAGGAAUUCGAUAGGUGUGACAAUGAUGAGAGUUAUCAACCUCUCCUUGAGGAAACAAGGAGGAGGAGGCGUCGUAACACUAUGGGUGAAGCAAUGGAGCUAGAUUCAGUGGAUAUGAAUCGAGUGAGAGAUACGAUUGCUGAUGGUUUGUUCAACAGGCGUUGA